Molecule: long non-coding RNA, 1948 nt
Organism: Cercocebus atys (sooty mangabey)
Lineage: Eukaryota; Metazoa; Chordata; Mammalia; Primates; Cercopithecidae
Exons: 3
Source: RefSeq, a predicted model, not a curated record
GCCGCCCAAAGUGCUGGGAUUACAGACGUGAGCCACCGCGCCUGGCCUGGCGAUAGGGUCUUUAAAGAGGUAACUAAGUUACAAUGAGGUCGUGAGGGUAGGUCCUAAUCCAACAUGAUGGGUGUCUUUACAGGAAGAGGACAUUUGACCACAGACAGCUGUGAAGGGAGAACUCCAUGUGAGCGUGUAGGCCUGCACGCCGAGGAGGGGCCUGGAACUGAUCCAUCCUUCACAGCCUCGGCAGGAACCGACCUGCUGGCACCUUGAUCUCAAAUUCCCGCAUCCAGAACCGGGCGACAAGGCAUUUCUGUUGCUGCAGCCACCCAGGCUGCGGCACUUUGCUAUGGCAGCGCUCGUGAAAGAAUGCAGUCACUUUUAUUUCCAAGGGAAGCAGAGUUAAAUGAGCCCCCUUAAGAGAUCUUCCUGCAAUGUUUGGGACGUGUCUGUGUGUGCGUGGACAGGGCCGUCUGCAGGCGGAUCAGCGUGCGGCGCGGGCAGCCACCUCUGUGUCCUAAGCGCAGACAUCCGGUGUCACCCUUCAGGCAUCCAGGGAAGGAAGCUGAUAAAAUGAAGCUCUUCAUGCUCCAGGUUCCGUUUCUUCUUUGGAAUGCUCGAAGGCUUCCCAGCUAUUCCAUGUUCAGGCCUGGUUUUCAAGAGGCUGCAGGCCGGAGUGGGGAAGGUGGCUGAAGCCGGUCCUGGGUCUCUCCGAGCCCCUCAGAGAACUCUCUGGUUGCACUAGAAACCAUCCUUGUGCUGCUGGCAGCAGUUUCCAUGCCGCUGAAAAAUGGCGGCAAAGCCCAAGUGGAGAAGGAGGGUUCGGUAUGCGUGGCUUCCAACCCAAAAGAACAGAAAGCCAGGGCCCUCAUUCCGCCCUGAACUGUGAUCCGCACGGUUCACCAGGAGCACAGCCCUUGUGUUCCUCGCUGCCUCCCCCUGAAGGCGCUGGAGGCCGCAUGACGUUGCCUGCCACUGUGGGGGUGACACGCUCCCCUGGCCCCGGCCUGGACGGGCCCUGACAGGUGCAGUGGGAGAACAAAGCGUCAUUCUGAGGGUGAAGUUACCAGGACCGUCAGCCUGAGGAGAAUCAGCUCUUCCGCACCAAAUCCUGAAGAUCACAUGGCAGAGUGAGCUGGAGUGAGACAGGGUCUUGCUCCAUUGUCCAGCUAGAGUGCAGUGGCAAGAUGAUGGCUCACUACAGCCUCCAUCUCUUGGGCUUAAGAGCCCUCCCCCAUGGCUCAGCCUGCCCUGAGGCCAGUCCUCGUACAUGGGGCAUGGCUGCCUUCAAGACAUCUCCAAGGAGCCCUCGCUGAGAAGCCCCCUGGUGCACACACAAAAUCACGUUGCUAUUUAGUUGAAUUUCUUCAUUGUACAGGUUAAGAAAUGGAAGAUGUGACUCUCAAGGAUUAUACACAACUAAAACUGUGUGAAACGGCGAUCAGUACCCGGGCAACAGGGAAGUGGGAAUUUCUCACCAACCCACGUGCCAGGAUCCAGCCUCAACGCUUGUGAGGAUCCAGCCUCAACGCUCUGCACAUCUCCAGUGUGAAACAGCACCAUGUGCCUAAUGAGUUCUUCUCUGACUGAUUGAUUGAUUGAUUACUAAAACACUCAGCACUCCUGGCAAAGCAGUUCUCACACUGUUGAACAAAUUAUCUUUAUGCACUGCAGUCUCUUGAGCUUAGAUGAAGGCAAACUCACUGUAAUCUUCAGAUCAUUUAACAAUGCCUUGGAAUCACUGGAUAUGAGAAAAUAUCCAGGCAUGUGGAAUACGAAGGGGGAAGAAAAGCAGGACUUGGAGGGACUGUGCUAGUGGAUUUCAACUCUAUAUUUUCUAAAAUGAACCAGGGGCAGGCAAACUACUACCUUGUAGGCCAAAUCUGGCCAGUGACCUGUUCUAUCAUUGAUUGAUUGAUUGACGGGGUCUUGUCUUGCUCUGUCACCCAGGCUG